This 91-nucleotide transfer RNA is filed under the name Bacteroidales bacterium. RNAcentral describes it as "tRNA-Ser". It matches the Rfam family "tRNA". From Rfam's summary of the family: Transfer RNA (tRNA) molecules are approximately 80 nucleotides in length. Their secondary structure includes four short double-helical elements and three loops (D, anti-codon, and T loops). Further hydrogen bonds mediate the characteristic L-shaped molecular structure. tRNAs have two regions of fundamental functional importance: the anti-codon, which is responsible for specific mRNA codon recognition, and the 3' end, to which the tRNAs corresponding amino acid is attached (by aminoacyl-tRNA synthetases). tRNAs cope with the degeneracy of the genetic code in two manners: having more than one tRNA (with a specific anti-codon) for a particular amino acid; and 'wobble' base-pairing, i.e. permitting non-standard base-pairing at the 3rd anti-codon position. The record is from RNAcentral. Lineage: Bacteria; Pseudomonadati; Bacteroidota; Bacteroidia; Bacteroidales.
GGAGAGAUGGCCGAGCGGCCGAAGGCGCUGCAUUGGAAAUGCAGUAUACUCCAAAAGGGUAUCGAGGGUUCAAAUCCCUCUCUCUCCGCCA